AUCUAAAUAGUUUAUUUAAAAUAUUGAUUUGUGGUGUCAAUGAAAUGAGGUUGUCAUUUUAGAUC
Molecule: transfer RNA, 65 nt
Filed under: Bactrocera latifrons
Lineage: Eukaryota; Metazoa; Arthropoda; Insecta; Diptera; Tephritidae
Description: tRNA-His
Source: RNAcentral